Molecule: ribosomal RNA, 218 nt
Filed under: uncultured bacterium
Lineage: Bacteria
Description: partial 16S ribosomal RNA
Rfam family: Bacterial small subunit ribosomal RNA (bases 1-189)
Source: RNAcentral
UGCGUAGGUGGUGGGGUAAGUCUCGUGUGAAAGCUCGCAGCUUAACUGCGAAAAGUCACGGGAUACUAUCCGGCUAGAGGCUUGGAGGGGGGGACGUGGAAUACUUGGUGUAGCAGUGAAAUGCGUAGAUAUCAAGUGGAACACCAGUGGCGAAGGCGAGUCCCUGGACAAGACCUGACACUGAGGCACGAAAAGGACCACGGGGAAGGGCAAAACCA